Molecule: ribosomal RNA, 819 nt
Filed under: uncultured eukaryote
Lineage: Eukaryota
Description: SSU rRNA
Rfam family: Eukaryotic small subunit ribosomal RNA
Source: RNAcentral
CGGUGUUUAACUGGCGUGAUGUGGGACGUCCUACCGGUGGGCUUAGCCUCGCGAGGGGCGGCCCAACUAAUAUCCCGUCGCGGUGCUCUUUACUGAGUGUCGAGUCGGGCCGGUACGUUUACUUUGAACAAAUUAGAGUGCUUAAAGCAGGCUAUCCUCGCCUGAAUACUGCGUGCAUGGAAUAAUGGAAUAGGACCUCGGUUCUAUUUUGUUGGUUUUCGGAACCCCGAGGUAAUGAUUAAUAGGGACAGAUGGGGGCAUUCGUAUUGCGACGUUAGAGGUGAAAUUCUUGGAUCGUCGCAAGACGGACAGAAGCGAAAGCAUUUGCCAAAAAUGUUUUCAUUAAUCAAGAACGAAAGUUAGAGGUUCGAAGGCGAUCAGAUACCGCCCUAGUUCUAACCAUAAACGAUGCCAGCUAGCGAUCCGCCGAAGUUCCUCCGAUGACUCGGCGGGCAGCUUCCGGGAAACCAAAGCUUUUGGGUUCCGGGGGAAGUAUGGUUGCAAAGCUGAAACUUAAAGGAAUUGACGGAAGGGCACCACCAGGAGUGGAGCCUGCGGCUUAAUUUGACUCAACACGGGAAACCUCGCCAGGCCCAGACACCGGAAGGAUUGACAGAUUGAUAGCUCUUUCUUGAUUCGGUGGGUGGUGGUGCAUGGCCGUUCUUAGUUGGUGGAGCGAUUUGUCUGGUUAAUUCCGAUAACGAACGAGACUCUAGCCUGCUAAAUAGGCGUACCUUAUGGUAUCGCGAAGGCCCCCGGCUUCGGCCGGUGGGUUUUUACUACCAACGUACAAACAAAUCUUCUUAGAGGGACAGGCGG